CCGUAGCUCAGUUGGAUAGAGCAACAGCCUUCUAAGCUGUGGGUCGUGGGUUCGAAUCCCGCCGG
Molecule: transfer RNA, 65 nt
Filed under: Rikenellaceae bacterium
Lineage: Bacteria; Pseudomonadati; Bacteroidota; Bacteroidia; Bacteroidales; Rikenellaceae
Also listed under: 1 other name
Description: tRNA-Arg
Rfam family: tRNA
About the family: Transfer RNA (tRNA) molecules are approximately 80 nucleotides in length. Their secondary structure includes four short double-helical elements and three loops (D, anti-codon, and T loops).
Source: RNAcentral